RNAcentral lists this ribosomal RNA (1256 nucleotides) under Xylona heveae. RNAcentral's name for it is "partial 28S large subunit ribosomal RNA". It matches the Rfam family "Eukaryotic large subunit ribosomal RNA", at positions 91 to 1352 of the family's 3401-position model. The record is from RNAcentral. Lineage: Eukaryota; Fungi; Ascomycota; Xylonomycetes; Xylonales; Xylonaceae.
GAGUGAAGCGGCAACAGCUCAAAUUUGAAAUCUGGCCUCUUNGNGGUCCGAGUUGUAAUUUGGAGAGGAUGCUUCGGGCGUGGCACCGGUCUAAGUUCCUUGGAACAGGACGUCACAGAGGGUGAGAAUCCCGUAUGUGAUCGGCCGCCUUCGUCCAUGUGAAGCUCCUUNGACGAGUCGAGUUGUUUGGGAAUGCAGCUCAAAAUGGGUGGUAAAUUUCAUCUAAAGCUAAAUAUUGGCCAGAGACCGAUAGCGCACAAGUAGAGUGAUCGAAAGAUGAAAAGCACUUUGGAAAGAGAGUUAAAAAGUACGUGAAAUUGUUGAAAGGGAAGCGNUUGCAACCAGACUNGCUNGCAGUUNCUCAGCCGGUGUUCUCACCGGUGUACUCUUCUNCGGUCAGGNCCAGCAUCANUUCGGGCGGCCGGAUAAAGGUCGCGGGAAUGUGGCUCCUCUCGGGGAGUGUUAUAGCCCGCGGCGCCAUGCGGCCAGCCUGGACNUGAGGUCCNGCGCNUUCNGCUANGGAUGCUGGCGUAAUGGUUGUAAGCGACCNGUCUUGAANCACGGACCANNGGAGUCUAACAUCUAUGCGAGUGUUUGGGUGNUCAANCCCAUACGCGUAAUGAAANGUGAACGGAGGUGAGAACCCGUANCGGGUGCAUCAUCNAACCGAUCCUGAUGUCUUCGGAUGGAUUUGAGUAAGAGCAUANCUGUUGGGACCCGAAAGAUGGUGAACUAUGCCUGAAUAGGGUGAAGCCAGAGGAAACUCUGGUGGAGGCUCGCAGCGGUUCUGACGUGCANAUCNAUCGUCAAAUUUUGGGUAUAGGGGCGAAAGACUAAUCGAACCAUCUAGUANCUGGUNUCCUGCCGAANGUUUNCCCUCAGGAUANCANNAANGUAUUCANUUUUNUGAGGUAAAGCGAAUGAUUAGAGGCCUUGGGGUUGAAACAACCUUAACCUAUUCUCAANCUUUAAAUAUGUAAGAAGUCCUUGUUACUUAGUUGAACGUGGACAUUUGAAUGUACCGUUNCUANUGGNCCAUUUUUGGUAAGCANAACUGGCGAUGNNGGAUGAACCGAACGCGAGGUUAAGGUGCCGGAAUGCACGCUUAUCAGACNCCACAAAAGGNGUUAGUUCAUCUAGACAGCCGGACGGUGGCCAUGGAAGUCGGAAUCCNCUNAGGAGUGUGUAACAACUCACCGGCCGAAUGAACUAGCCCUGAAAAUGGAUGGCGCUCAAGCGUGCUACNCAUACNUCGC